Molecule: small nuclear RNA, 120 nt
Filed under: Sinocyclocheilus rhinocerous
Lineage: Eukaryota; Metazoa; Chordata; Actinopteri; Cypriniformes; Cyprinidae
Description: U1 spliceosomal RNA (ENSSRHG00000042527.1)
Rfam family: U1 spliceosomal RNA
About the family: U1 is a small nuclear RNA (snRNA) component of the spliceosome (involved in pre-mRNA splicing). Its 5' end forms complementary base pairs with the 5' splice junction, thus defining the 5' donor site of an intron. There are significant differences in sequence and secondary structure between metazoan and yeast U1 snRNAs, the latter being much longer (568 nucleotides as compared to 164 nucleotides in human).
Source: RNAcentral
AUACUUACCUGGCAGAGGAGACACCAUGAUCAAGAAGGUGGUUCACCCAGGGUGAGUUGGCCACAUGUCACGUCACUUCACUUCACUUCAUUUCAAAAGUUACGGACUGCAGCUUUAAGC